GGUAUCUGGCUUUCUCCUCGUGUGCAAUCAGUAAAACACAUAUAGGGGCCACUUCGGGAUUUGCCCAGGGAAGGGUUGGAGAGCAGCUGGCUGCGGUAAUCUCCUCGGGAGACAAAGGAAUGCCCCGUCCCAGGAUCACAGAAUCGCGUGGCAUAAAUUAAGCCAGAGAAGAAUGAGCGCCGUGGGCAGGAUCCUGCCGGCUCUCACGGCGCCUUUCAGUCACGCUCAGCAGCGGUAAUCGAGAAAUCUGUGCCACGUCAAUUUAACAAAUACCCGGUACCGAAGGGGGGUUGUUAAGGAUUUGGGGAUUAAAGGAUACGCGUUGAUAUAUCACUUCUUGCCUCCACCGACGGGCCACCACCCAAAUUUCAAGAAAGAUAUUGCCGCUCACCCCCGCCCCCCCGCCCCACUCGCUUAGUAAACCUCAUACGAAGUGAUGUUUUC
This is a long non-coding RNA of Pyrgilauda ruficollis (rufous-necked snowfinch), 444 nucleotides long. RefSeq lists it as uncharacterized. The transcript is spliced from 3 exons. NCBI's taxonomy places the organism in Eukaryota, Metazoa, Chordata, Aves, Passeriformes, Passeridae. The record is from RefSeq and is a predicted model, not a curated record.